UGAGGAACAUGACCUUCGGCGGGGGAUAGCCGGCCCAACGGCCGGGUAAUACCGCGUACGACCGUCUAGGGACAUCCCUGGAUGGUGAAAGCAGCAAUGCGCCGAUGGAGUGCCUCGCGGCCUAUCAGCUAGUUGGUGAGGUAACGGCUCACCAAGGCAACGACGGGUAGCUGGUCUGAGAGGAUGGCCAGCCACAUUGGGACUGAGACACGGCCCAGACUCCGUAGG
This 228-nucleotide ribosomal RNA is filed under the name uncultured bacterium. Its description in RNAcentral is "partial 16S ribosomal RNA". It matches the Rfam family "Bacterial small subunit ribosomal RNA", at positions 118 to 344 of the family's 1533-position model. The record is from RNAcentral.